This is an unclassified non-coding RNA of Erinaceus europaeus (western European hedgehog), 319 nucleotides long. Its record names the gene 7SK. It matches the Rfam family "7SK RNA". From Rfam's summary of the family: 7SK was discovered as an abundant small nuclear RNA in the mid-70s but a possible function has only recently been suggested. Two independent studies have found that 7SK RNA binds the CDK9/cyclin T complex (known as elongation factor P-TEFb). P-TEFb activates transcription by phosphorylating the C-terminal domain of RNA polymerase II. The record is from Ensembl. NCBI's taxonomy places the organism in Eukaryota, Metazoa, Chordata, Mammalia, Eulipotyphla, Erinaceidae.
GGAUGUGAGGGCGAUCUGGCUGUGACAUCUGUCACCCCAUUGAUUGCUAGGGUUGAUUCGGCUGAUCUGGCUGGCUAGGCGGGUGUCCCCUUCCUCCCUCACUGCUCCAUGUGCGUCCCGAAGCUGUGCGCUCGGUAGAAGAGGAUGGUCUUCCCCGAAUAGAGACGGACCAGUCUUCGAUUGAGGGUAUACGAGUAGCUGCGCUCCCCUGCUAGAACCUCUAAACAAGCUCUCAAAACAUCUAAGUUGACCAUAAAGAUAGCUCACCUAUGAGGGCACUUUCAAACCAGGGGGCAACACAGGUUCAAGUACCUUGUAU